GCAUCCAGUACGGUAACGCGAACGAUCCCGGAGAAGCUGGUGGGAGCCCCAGGGAGUUUUCUAUUUUCUUUGUGAAGGGCAGGGCACCCUGAAAUGGGUUCGCCCCGAGAGAGGGGCCUUGGAAAUCAUUGUGGUUUCGGCGUCGUCCGGUGAGCUCUCCCUGGCCCUUGAAAAUCCGGAGGAGAGGGUAAAUCUC
Molecule: non-coding RNA, 196 nt
Filed under: Salmo salar (Atlantic salmon)
Lineage: Eukaryota; Metazoa; Chordata; Actinopteri; Salmoniformes; Salmonidae
Description: Eukaryotic large subunit ribosomal RNA
Rfam family: Eukaryotic large subunit ribosomal RNA
Source: Rfam by way of RNAcentral